This 370-nucleotide ribosomal RNA is filed under the name uncultured Anaeromyxobacter sp. Its description in RNAcentral is "bacterial SSU rRNA". It matches the Rfam family "Bacterial small subunit ribosomal RNA", at positions 67 to 423 of the family's 1533-position model. The record is from RNAcentral. Lineage: Bacteria; Pseudomonadati; Myxococcota; Myxococcia; Myxococcales; Anaeromyxobacteraceae.
CGAGAAAGCCCGCAAGGGUGAGUAAAGCGGCGCACGGGUGCGUAACACGUGGGUAAUCUGCCCAGGAGUUCGGGAUAACUCGCCGAAAGGCGUGCUAAUACCGGAUAAGACCACGGGAGCUUCGGCUCCUGCGGGAAAAGGUGGCCUCUGUAUACAAGCUAUCACUCCUGGAUGAGCCCGCGGCCCAUCAGCUCGUUGGCGGGGUAACGGCCCACCAAGGCUACGACGGGUAGCUGGUCUGAGAGGACGAUCAGCCACACUGGAACUGAGACACGGUCCAGACUCCUACGGGAGGCAGCAGGUGGGAAUCUUGCGCAAUGGGCGAAAGCCUGACGCAGCAACGCCGCGUGUGUGAUGAAGGUCUUCGGAU